GGCUCCAUAGUGUAGUGGUUAGCGUCUGCUUUACAUGCAGAAGGUCCUGGGUUCAAGCCCCAGGUGGAGCCA
RNAcentral lists this transfer RNA (72 nucleotides) under Pteropus alecto (black flying fox). It matches the Rfam family "tRNA". Rfam says of the family: Transfer RNA (tRNA) molecules are approximately 80 nucleotides in length. Their secondary structure includes four short double-helical elements and three loops (D, anti-codon, and T loops). Further hydrogen bonds mediate the characteristic L-shaped molecular structure. tRNAs have two regions of fundamental functional importance: the anti-codon, which is responsible for specific mRNA codon recognition, and the 3' end, to which the tRNAs corresponding amino acid is attached (by aminoacyl-tRNA synthetases). tRNAs cope with the degeneracy of the genetic code in two manners: having more than one tRNA (with a specific anti-codon) for a particular amino acid; and 'wobble' base-pairing, i.e. permitting non-standard base-pairing at the 3rd anti-codon position. Lineage: Eukaryota; Metazoa; Chordata; Mammalia; Chiroptera; Pteropodidae. The record is from Rfam by way of RNAcentral. RNAcentral also lists the same sequence under 1 other name.